Hordeum vulgare subsp. vulgare (domesticated barley) is the source of this 89-nucleotide non-coding RNA. Lineage: Eukaryota; Viridiplantae; Streptophyta; Magnoliopsida; Poales; Poaceae. The record is from Rfam.
CAGGCUGUGAUGAUCAAAAAACCUACCUAUUUUCUGAGGGAUCUCGAUCGAUGCCCCCUGCAGAGAAACCAACUAUUUCUUCUGAGCCU